Molecule: ribosomal RNA, 186 nt
Filed under: uncultured bacterium
Lineage: Bacteria
Description: partial 16S ribosomal RNA
Rfam family: Bacterial small subunit ribosomal RNA
Source: RNAcentral
AAGUCUGAUGUGAAAAUGCGCGGCUCAAGUACGUAUUGCGUUGGAAACUGCAAAACUAGAGUACUGGAGAGGUAGGCGGAACUAAAAGUGUAGAGGUGAAAUUCGUAGAUAUUUGUAGGAAUGCCAAUGGGGAAGCCAGCCUACUGGACAGAUACUGACGCUAAAGCGCGAAAGCGUGGGUAGCAA